CCUACGGGUGGCUGCAGUGGGGAAUAUUGGACAAUGGGCGAAAGCCUGAUCCAGCCAUGCCGCGUGUGUGAAGAAGGCCUUCGGGUUGUAAAGCACUUUCAGUGGGGAAGAAAGCCUUGGGGCUAAUACCCUCGAGGAAGGACAUCACCCACAGAAGAAGCACCGGCUAACUCCGUGCCAGCAGCCGCGGUAAUACGGAGGGUGCGAGCGUUAAUCGGAAUUACUGGGCGUAAAGCGCGCGUAGGCGGUCUGAUAAGCCGGUUGUGAAAGCCCCGGGCUCAACCUGGGAACGGCAUCCGGAACUGUCAGGCUAGAGUGCAGGAGAGGAGGGUAGAAUUCCCGGUGUAGCGGUGAAAUGCGUAGAGAUCGGGAGGAAUACCAUUGGCGAAGGCGGCCUUCUGGACUGACACUGACGCUGAGGUGCGAAAGCGUGGGUAGCAAACAGGAUUAGUACCCUAGUAGUC
This 464-nucleotide ribosomal RNA is filed under the name Vreelandella stevensii. RNAcentral describes it as "partial 16S ribosomal RNA". It matches the Rfam family "Bacterial small subunit ribosomal RNA", at positions 338 to 795 of the family's 1533-position model. Lineage: Bacteria; Pseudomonadati; Pseudomonadota; Gammaproteobacteria; Oceanospirillales; Halomonadaceae. The record is from RNAcentral.